CAUGCAUGUGUAGUAUAAAGACCAAGAAGGAUGAAACUGCGGACGGCUCAUUAGAACAGUUAUAAUUUCUUUGAUUAGUACGAUACAAGGAAUAGCUUUGUGAAUAAUAAAGAUAAUACUUGAGACAAUCCCAGUUGUUUGUACAAGUGGGCGCAUUCCCGAGGAAUGCAGAAAAGAAGUUUAUUAAGAAAAAGAACAAAUUUACAAUUGUAGAAAUUCGAGGAAUUUGACAAGGAAUCAAUGAGAAUAUCUGAUCUAUCAACUAGUUGGUAGUAUAGAGGACUACCAAGGUUAUAACGGAUAACGAGAAAUUAGGGUUUGACAUCGGAGAAGGAGCUUUCAAAAUGGCUACUACUUCUAAGGAAGGCAGCAGGCGCGUAAAUUACCCACUUUUAACAGAAAGAGGUAGUGACGACAAAUAACUCUAUUUUUGCUAUAAAACAAAAAUUGAAGGGAUGAAUAGAACGUAAAUAGUUAUAUGAAAGCAAU
Molecule: ribosomal RNA, 489 nt
Filed under: Entamoeba gingivalis
Lineage: Eukaryota; Evosea; Mastigamoebida; Endamoebidae
Description: bacterial SSU rRNA
Rfam family: Eukaryotic small subunit ribosomal RNA
Source: RNAcentral